GCGGAAUGAUGGGAAGCUUGCUCCCAUCAGUCAGCGGCGGACGGGUGAGUAACACGUGGGUAACCUGCCUGUAAGACUGGGAUAACUCCGGGAAACCGGGGCUAAUACCGGAUAACUCAUUUCCUCGCAUGAGGAAAUGUUGAAAGGUGGCUUUUAGCUAUCACUUACAGAUGGACCCGCGGCGCAUUAGCUAGUUGGUGAGGUAACGGCUCACCAAGGCGACGAUGCGUAGCCGACCUGAGAGGGUGAUCGGCCACACUGGGACUGAGACACGGCCCAGACUCCUACGGGAGGCAGCAGUAGGGAAUCUUCCGCAAUGGACGAAAGUCUGACGGAGCAACGCCGCGUGAGUGAUGAAGGUUUUCGGAUCGUAAAACUCUGUUGUUAGGGAAGAACAAGUACCGUUCGAAUAGGGCGGUACCUUGACGGUACCUAACCAGAAAGCCACGGCUAACUACGUGCCAGCAGCCGCGGUAAUACGUAGGUGGCAAGCGUUGUCCGGAAUUAUUGGGCGUAAAGCGCGCGCAGGUGGUUUCUUAAGUCUGAUGUGAAAGCCCACGGCUCAACCGUGGAGGGUCAUUGGAAA
RNAcentral lists this ribosomal RNA (586 nucleotides) under Bacillus sp. CH379b_12D. RNAcentral's name for it is "bacterial SSU rRNA". It matches the Rfam family "Bacterial small subunit ribosomal RNA", at positions 66 to 632 of the family's 1533-position model. The record is from RNAcentral. Lineage: Bacteria; Bacillati; Bacillota; Bacilli; Caryophanales; Bacillaceae.